Molecule: ribosomal RNA, 440 nt
Filed under: uncultured bacterium
Lineage: Bacteria
Description: partial 16S ribosomal RNA
Rfam family: Bacterial small subunit ribosomal RNA
Source: RNAcentral
CCUACGGGUGGCUGCAGUGGGGAAUAUUGCACAAUGGGGGGAACCCUGAUGCAGCGACGCCGCGUGGGUGAGGAAGUACUUCGGUUUGUAAAGCCCUAUCAGCAGGGAAGAAAAUGACGGUACCUGACUAAGAAGCCCCGGCUAAUUACGUGCCAGCAGCCGCGGUAAUACGUAGGCGGCAAGCGUUAUCCGGAUUUACUGGGUGUAAAGGGAGCGUAGAUGGCGUGCCAAGCCUGGUGUGAAAGGCCGGGGCUCAACCCCGGGACUGCAUUUGAAACUGGCAUGCUGGAGUGCCGGAGGGGCAAGCGGAAUGCCUGGUGUAGCGGUGAAAUGCGUAGAUAUUAGGAGGAACUCCGAUUGCGAAGGCAGCUUACUAGACUGCCACUGACAUUGAUGCUCGAAAGUGUGGGUAGCAAACAGGAUUAGAUACCCUGGUAGUC